CUAUGCGCCUUGCCAGCCCGCUCAGGUGUGCCAGCAGCCGCGGUAAUACGUAGGGAGUCAAGCGUUGUCCGGAAUUACUGGGCGUAAAGGGCGCGUAGGUGGGCGCUUAAGUCAGGUGUGAAAACUCCGGGCUCAACCUGGAGACUGCACUUGAAACUGGGUGUCUUGAGGGCAGGAGAGGAAAGUGGAAUUCCUAGUGUAGCGGUGAAAUGCGUAGAUAUUAGGAGGAACACCAGUGGCGAAGGCGGCUUACUGGACUGUAACUGACGUUGAGGCUCGAAAGCGUGGGGAGCAAACAGG
Molecule: ribosomal RNA, 300 nt
Filed under: uncultured bacterium
Lineage: Bacteria
Description: bacterial SSU rRNA
Rfam family: Bacterial small subunit ribosomal RNA
Source: RNAcentral